AACGCUAGCUACAGGCUUAACACAUGCAAGUCGAGGGGCAGCAUGAAUCUUAGCUUGCUAAGAUUUGAUGGCGACCGGCGCACGGGUGAGUAACGCGUAUCCAACCUACCGUUUACUACUGGAUAGCCUUCUGAAAAGGAGAUUAAUACAGUAUGGUAUUCAACGAUCACAUGAGAAUUGAAUUAAAGAUUUAUCGGUAAACGAUGGGGAUGCGUUCCAUUAGAUAGUAGGCGGGGUAACGGCCCACCUAGUCUUCGAUGGAUAGGGGUUCUGAGAGGAAGGUCCCCCACAUUGGAACUGAGACACGGUCCAAACUCCUACGGGAGGCAGCAGUGAGGAAUAUUGGUCAAUGGACGAGAGUCUGAACCAGCCAAGUAGCGUGAAGGAUGACUGCCCUAUGGGUUGUAAACUUCUUUUAUAAAGGAAUAAAGUAAGUCACGUGUGGCUUUUUGUAUGUACUUUAUGAAUAAGGAUCGGCUAACUCCGUGCCAGCAGCCGCGGUAAUACGGAGGAUCCGAGCGUUAUCCGGAUUUAUUGGGUUUAAAGGGAGCGUAGAUGGGUUUUUAAGUCAGUUGUGAAAGUUUGGGGCUCAACCUCGAAAUUGCAAUUGAUACUGGAAGUCUUGAGUACAGUUGAGGUAGGCGGAAUUCGUGGUGUAGCGGUGAAAUGCUUAGAUAUCACGAAGAACUCCGAUUG
RNAcentral lists this ribosomal RNA (696 nucleotides) under uncultured bacterium. Its description in RNAcentral is "bacterial SSU rRNA". It matches the Rfam family "Bacterial small subunit ribosomal RNA", at positions 32 to 715 of the family's 1533-position model. The record is from RNAcentral.